CACAGGAUGGAGAGGAAUAGAAUCUUGCCCUGACUAGCUUGAUGUGGCGUCUGAUGCUGAAU
Molecule: small nucleolar RNA, 62 nt
Filed under: Euglena gracilis
Lineage: Eukaryota; Euglenozoa; Euglenophyceae; Euglenales; Euglenaceae
Description: Eg-m29 box C/D methylation-guide snoRNA
Source: RNAcentral